This 163-nucleotide microRNA precursor is filed under the name Oryza brachyantha (malo sina). Its description in RNAcentral is "MIR812 microRNA precursor family". It matches the Rfam family "MIR812 microRNA precursor family", at positions 27 to 190 of the family's 205-position model. Lineage: Eukaryota; Viridiplantae; Streptophyta; Magnoliopsida; Poales; Poaceae. The record is from Rfam by way of RNAcentral.
UACAAUAUUUUGACUCUUCAUCUUAUUUAAAUUUUUUUGCGAUUAAUGUUUUAUUCUUACGGGAUGAUAAAACAUGAAUAGUACUUUAUGCGUACUAUUUUUUAAAGUUUUUUUACAAUUUUUUUUAAUAAGACGAAUGGUCAAACGUUAGACACGGGAAAAC